Molecule: ribosomal RNA, 301 nt
Filed under: uncultured bacterium
Lineage: Bacteria
Description: partial 16S ribosomal RNA
Rfam family: Bacterial small subunit ribosomal RNA
Source: RNAcentral
CAGUCGCCGCGGGAAUACGUAGGGUGCAAGCGUUAAUCGGAAUUACUGGGCGUAAAGCGUGCGCAGGCGGUUUCGUAAGACAGAUGUGAAAUCCCCGGGCUCAACCUGGGAACUGCAUUUGUGACUGUAGAGCUCGAGUACGGCAGAGGGGGAUGGAAUUCCGCGUGUAGCAGUGAAAUGCGUAGAUAUGCGGAGGAACACCGAUGGCGAAGGCAAUCCCCUGGGCCUGUACUGACGCUCAUGCACGAAAGCGUGGGGAGCAAACAGGAUUAGAUACCCCAGUAGUCCCUGUCUCUUAUAC